This is a long non-coding RNA of Hibiscus syriacus, 205 nucleotides long. RefSeq lists it as uncharacterized. Lineage: Eukaryota; Viridiplantae; Streptophyta; Magnoliopsida; Malvales; Malvaceae. The transcript has 3 exons. The record is from RefSeq and is a predicted model, not a curated record.
UAAACAUGGGAAGAUUUAUUAGCCAUUGCAGCAGAUCAACCCUUCUGAUUCCCUGCCACAUUCACAUUUGUUGUCAGAUCAUUUUCAGUAUUAGAUGGCAUAGGGAAUGGCCUUGAUCCUCGGUUUGACAUAACUGAGAUUGCAAAACUCUAUGCACUGGAGUUGUUAAGAUUCCGUCAAGUUGGGGUUGAAGUUGCCUUGAAGG